UCAGCCUCGCGAGAUUUCUUUUCUUCCUCCUUCUCUGUUUCUAAAUUUUCUUUGUUUUCAAAACCCACAAACACUAAAAACCUUCACUUUUCUCUUAGAUCUAAGUUUCGUUUCGAGAAGUGACAGAAGAGAAAGUUGCUCAUUGCCACGUUGCGGUGCUAGUGAGCUAGUUUUUGACGCGACAUCACAAACUUAAAUUUUACCAGAAUUAAUUACGGUACCGUAAUCGCGUGUUAGAGCUAUCGUUAAGGUAAGGGCUCCUUCCAAACUUUUAGUUUGCAUUUAGGACAUUAUUUGUGAUUUUGUGGAAAAGAAAUUUGAUGUAUUUGAUGUGUGAAUUUGUUGAAAAUGAAUUUAAUUUGUUUAUGUGGGAAUUAGUGGGAUUUGUUUUUGGUGUGUUUUGAGGUGUGGUUUGUGGUGAUCCAUAUUUGGUUUGAUUUAUAUGUUCAUAAUUAUUAUUAUGAACCUUUGAGAUGUGAUUUAGGUGUGGAUUUUGUGGAUAUUGAAUUAAUUAAAUUUGAUGAGUUUGAGUUACGUAAUGAGUUAUUUUCAAAUAAAUGAGUUUGAUCUGAAAUUGAAAUUCUACAAAAAAAAUUAGCGUUGUUAAAGUUGUAAAAAAGUUCAAAUUUUAACUAAGUUAAAGAGUUUGAGCAAAAAGAUAGAUUGAAAUUAAAAAUGGUUAGAGUUUAAAAUAUUACUCUUUUAAUUACUCUUUGAUUGAGUUUAAAAAGAAAAAAAAAAGUUUAGAGUAUUUUAUUAACUCAAAAAUUUCGGUGCUUUAAUAGUCGAGUGUGUGUAUGUGAAAUUUGGAUAAUAUUUGUUUAAUUUAGUUUUAAGUAGAUAAUAUAGAUUAUUUGGUUUUAAAAGUUUGGUGUGUGAGAAAGAUUUAAUUUUAAGAAUUUUGUUGUGUGUGAAUUAAUUUUAUUGUGAACAAAUUGUUAUAAAUAUUUAUGUUUAUGUAGUUAGCUCCUUGAGUCUCGAAAAUGAAUCGAGACCGUUGGCACUGAGUUAGCGGUGGGGAGAACUCUGAUAUAUUAAUGUUGUAGUGGUGAUUUAUGGUUGAAAAUUUUGGAGAUUGAAUAUGGGUGAUUAAUGUUUGGAAAUUUUGGUGAUUCAUGUUUGGUGAAAUUGAUGUGUUCAUAAUUAAUAUUAUGAAUUUUUGAGAAGAAAUUUAUGUGUGACUUGGU
Molecule: long non-coding RNA, 1187 nt
Filed under: Cicer arietinum (chickpea)
Lineage: Eukaryota; Viridiplantae; Streptophyta; Magnoliopsida; Fabales; Fabaceae
Description: long non-coding RNA (CARI_LNC003325)
Source: RNAcentral